CCUAGGGCUGUGUGUGAUCUCACACUGGUCUGCUUCUCCAGCUCAGCUGCGCCUACCCUCUCUCUCCCACCCUCCUUCCUCCAGAUAAUAUAUAAGCUUCUGUUCAUCUCAUGAACAUCAUCUCUUCUGCUCUGCACAUCAGCAGUGUGAGAUAAGUGCACCCAGAGAGGAGUCUCGCCCGGUGCAGGCACACCAGUCCAUGUGGCCCAACAUCCCUCCCUAAGUCCAGCUCCUCCCUGCCUGCACGAGACCUCUGCACCCUGCCCACCACCUGGGAAUGGCGUCCAAGCACUACCAUGCUCGUCCUUCUGGUGCUGCUCUGAGAAAUGCGUUCAAAUGUCGCUGCUGUCAGAGAUGAUGGGACAGGACAGCAUCAUUAAAGAGGAACACAGUGUUCUGCCCAGUCACACAGCCUCACAGUCCUUCUCAGCACAGCAGCCCGGCAACCCCUGGGAGUCAGCGCUCUGGAUGACGGUCUCCCACGAUGUCACAGACGCUUCAGGAUGACAUGGGAACUUGGGGGAGGGAGCGAGUCGUGGUGUUUGGGGUGGGGGAGGUGUCACCGAAUUGGGGAAACAGGAACAGACACUGGGAGGCUGGGGGAGAGGGGGCAUUCUCAGU
This 621-nucleotide long non-coding RNA is filed under the name Capra hircus (goat). Its description in RNAcentral is "lncRNA (ENSCHIG00000004138.1)". The record is from RNAcentral. Lineage: Eukaryota; Metazoa; Chordata; Mammalia; Artiodactyla; Bovidae.